This is a long non-coding RNA of Pan troglodytes (chimpanzee), 1099 nucleotides long. RefSeq lists it as uncharacterized. The transcript is spliced from 3 exons. NCBI's taxonomy places the organism in Eukaryota, Metazoa, Chordata, Mammalia, Primates, Hominidae. The record is from RefSeq and is a predicted model, not a curated record.
CUCGCUCAUAGCUAUUGGUUGCUGCUAGACUCGCCUUCACAGACUAUUGGCCUUUUUCCAGAACCCGCCUCCUCUCUUGAGCUUAUUGGGCGCCACCUCCCGCCUGACUUACACCAUUGGCUGAGUCGCAAGUCCGUCUGCAGUAACUGUCUACUGCCACAGGAAUGGAGCUCUUUUGAGGAGGGUUUCUUGUGUCUUCUUCACAAAAGAACACUGCCUGGAAUAUAGGAUAUGAUCAGGAGAAUCUGUUGAAGGAAGACAUGGCUUGCCUCUUGGGACAUAGCGAGAAGGCGGCCGUCUGCAAGCCAGGAAGAGAGCCCUCACCAAGAACCAAAUCAGCUGGCACCCUGACCUUGGACUUCCCAGCCCCCAGAACUGUGAGACAUAAAUCUCUGUUGAGGUCUGUGGUGUUUUGUUAAGCAGCUCAAGCUGACUGAGAUAUGUUCUCAUUCUGCAGUGCCUCAGUUUCCCCUAGGUAUCAGUAAAAUACCAAUUUCAAUUUUGUUUUUUAAAAAAUUGUUAUUGGGCCAGGCACGGUGGCUCACACUUGUAAUCCCAGCACUUUGGGAGGCAGAGGUGGGUGGAUCACUUGAGGCCAGGAGUUUGGCCUCAUGUUUCACCAUUGGCCUUCAAAGUUUCACCGUGGCCAACAUGGUGAAACCCUGUCUCUACUAAAAAUACAAAAAUGAGCCAGGUGUGGUGGCACAUGCCUGUAAUUCCAGCUACUAGGGAGGCUGAGGUAUGAGAAUCGCUUAAAUCUGGGAGGUGGAGACUGCACCACUGCACUCCAGCCUGGGCAACAAAGCGAGACUCCAUCUCAAAGAAAAAAAAAAAAAUUGUUAUUGAUGUAUAAUAUACACCCAGGAAAGGGCAUGAUUCGUAAAUGUCUGGUGGGAUGGAUUUUCAGACUGAACAUACCCUACAGGACCAGCACCCAGACCAAGAGAUGGAAUAAUGCCAGCACCCCUGAAACCCCACUUGGGCCCACGACAGUCACUAAUCCUUGCCACCCCCUCCCCAUACCCCAAAGCAACCACUCCUCUAACAGCAUAAAUUAGCUCUCCUUGUUUUUAUAGUUUAAAUAAAUGGAAUCACAGAG